RNAcentral lists this ribosomal RNA (543 nucleotides) under uncultured bacterium. RNAcentral's name for it is "bacterial SSU rRNA". It matches the Rfam family "Bacterial small subunit ribosomal RNA", at positions 777 to 1319 of the family's 1533-position model. The record is from RNAcentral.
AAUAGAUACCCGGGUAGUCCACGCCGUAAACGAUGUCGACUUGGAGGUUGUUCCCUUGAGGAGUGGCUUCCGGAGCUAACGUGUUAAGUCGACCGCCUGGGGGGUACGGCCGCAAGGUUAAAACUCAAAAUGAAUUGACGGGGGCCCGCACAAGCGGUGGAGCAUGUGGUUUAAUUCGAUGCAACGCGAAGAACCUUACCUACUCUUGACAUCCAGAGAACUUAGCAGAGAUGCUUUGGUGCCUUCGGGAACUCUGAGACAGGUGCUGCAUGGCUGUCGUCAGCUCGUGUUGUGAAAUGUUGGGUUAAGUCCCGCAACGAGCGCAACCCUUAUCCUUUGUUGCCAGCGGUUCGGCCGGGAACUCAAAGGAGACUGCCAGUGAUAAACUGGAGGAAGGUGGGGAUGACGUCAAGUCAUCAUGGCCCUUACGAGUAGGGCUACACACGUGCUACAAUGGCGUAUACAAAGAGAAGCGACCUCGCGAGAGCAAGCGGACCUCAUAAAGUACGUCGUAGUCCGGAUUGGAGUCUGCAACUCGACUCC